Molecule: ribosomal RNA, 434 nt
Filed under: uncultured Lachnospiraceae bacterium
Lineage: Bacteria; Bacillati; Bacillota; Clostridia; Lachnospirales; Lachnospiraceae
Description: partial 16S ribosomal RNA
Rfam family: Bacterial small subunit ribosomal RNA
Source: RNAcentral
ACGGAAGGCAGCAGUGGGGAAUAUUGGACAAUGGGGGAAACCCUGAUCCAGCGACGCCGCGUGAGUGAAGAAGUAUUUCGGUAUGUAAAGCUCUAUCAGCAAGGAAGAAAAUGACGGUACUUGACUAAGAAGCUCCGGCUAAAUACGUGCCAGCAGCCGCGGUAAUACGUAUGGAGCAAGCGUUAUCCGGAUUUACUGGGUGUAAAGGGAGCGUAGACGGCAAAGCAAGUCUGAAGUGAAAUCCCGGGGCUCAACCCCGGAACUGCUUUGGAAACUGUUUAGCUAGAGUGCAGGAGAGGUAAGCGGAAUUCCUAGUGUAGCGGUGAAAUGCGUAGUUAUUAGGAGGAACACCAGUGGCGAAGGCGGCUUACUGGACUGUAACUGACGUUGAGGCUCGAAAGCGUGGGGAGCAAACAGGAUUAGAUACCCUGGUA